AGACAUUUCUUGAACGUAUUCAAACUUCAUUAGGCAGCCUUCAGACUCGCAAAAGGUGCUUGCUGUGACAAAUAGUAGUCUGAAAUGACCAGAAGAUCCACAGGGAUGGAAAUGUUCUGAAGGACAAAGGUACCUGAAUGUUGCUGCCUGUGAUCGUCCUCUGCGUAUAGCCAGUAUUUGGAAAGUGACUCAGCGCAGUAAAGACAAGGCUCUGCCAGGCUUGGGGGCUGACGGAGCACUGAAGCUGCAGACUGUUUGCCAUGCUAAGUCUCAGGAGGUGAUUAGAUUUGAUGUGUCCCCCUGGCUGAGAUCGAUAGCAAAACUGUGGGAUGCUGUGCCAGGAUCAACUUGCAGGUAGGAAGAAGCAAGAGAGGAGUAGACUGGCGACCUGCCUGCCUGUGCAAUACCACACGGCCAGCCUGGGGAGGCGGGAAGGGAAACCACUGAAGCUGGCUUCAAACUGUCUCCUUUCAUGGCACGAAGCGGGGAGUGAAACCCGUGGUGGGUGACUCUGGUGAAAGCACAAGAGCAGACAUGUGGGAGUGGAGCCCCGCCAUCUGAAAAGCGCAACAACAAAGUCCUUGAUGAUAACCGAGGGUGAGGUCUGUCUGGGAGAGCUCAGCCCCACAGCAGUGGGAGGGAGGCCAUGCUGGUGACUCCUGUGGGGACCCCUCCCAGGGACGCUGACUUCGGGAACCACCACACUGCCUCUCUUCCCCGGCAGGAUUUCAGCCCGUUAAGAGGACCGACCCAGAUUGAAAACUCAGACGUCCAUAAAACCAUUAAGGCUAGUAUCGGUCCUCUUGAUACCACCUUGAAUUCCAGUGCUGGAGCCUGUGUUUUCCUCCAGUGGUGAUAAUAGAUUUUGACUCACACUGUGAAGAUACCAUAGGCUCACUGGCAGUGAAGAUAAGCUAAUCAGUCCAUAAGGAUAGUUAUCAAUUUCCUGGAACAUACUGGUGUCUAACCGAAGCUGUCCAGAUACCGCAUGCAGGGGAGCUGACCUACCACGAAGUCAGAAACAGUGUUGUCAGGUAUCCUGUCACGACGUACUUGCCAAGCAACUGCAGCAGAUGUGGAUGGAUGACAAACUUUGCAUGCAUGGCUCUGGGACACAGAAGACCUCUUUCUGCAAACCAAGGGCUGCAAUUUGAGAAGCUGCUACUUUCUCUAUUUUUAAUGCCUUUAUUGAUACUUGUCUGCAUAGACCCCACAUAGUGGCAGGCCAGCAGCUCCUCACCCACAAAUCCCAGUUCUGGUCCAGGUCUCCCUCCUGCAGUUGUUCUGCUCUCCUCGAGUGUGGCCCCUCUGCCCGUUUCCGCCUACGUGUCCGCACACAGAAACCACUGACCACGGUCAGGCAGUCCCCUGACAAUACAGCAUGUGGGAAAGCUCUUCCAGGGCGAACGGCAUCCUUUCAAGAGCUCAGGCCAGAGAGUAAAGGCCGAUGCACCAUGGGAGAGCACUGAAAGGACAUUUAAGUUUUCUGACGAAGGGAAAAUGAGCUCUCCCCUGUGGGUUUUUCUCUGGAGGCUACGAGAGUGAGAUUUCUGAAUUCGAGGAGUGGAAGAAAAAGGAAGAAAAACACGAACAAAAUAGUCAGCUAAAAGAUGUAACUUUAAUUUAGCAUAUCAUGAUAGUGAUGCUGGGUACUGCUAUGAAACAGAAGGUGCUGGGAAAGAUCCACUGAAAUAUCAGUUGAUCUUGGACAGCAAAAUUUAAUAUGCCCAACACAGUGAAACAAACACCUAGUGAAUGAGGGCACAAUUAAGCACUCACUUAGGUGUUACGAUGUCAGGCUGAGCUGUUGCUGAAUGUGGGGGGCCGCAGGGAGCUCUUUCCUGCUGCUCUCUCGGACAGUCCUGCAGGGAGCCUGAUGGGACACUGAUCCAGCGAUGGACACGAAUCGCUCUGCUGCCGGUAUAAUUUUCAGGAAAAGCAGUGAUCUGCUCUCGCCACAUGGUAAUUAACAUGAGAAUGAGCAACUAGGCACAUGGAGGGAGUUUGUGGGGAAGCAGGGAGGGGUGACAGGGCUAUGCAUUUUGUUGGCGUUGUGGACUUCGGCUGGAGUGAAGCAUCUGCGUAACCAUGGCCUGGGAGGUCUCAUCUAAUGGUCUGAGCAGAAAUCAGCAAAGUAUUCUUCAUUUCUGCUUACGGAUGGGGGACAGAUUCCCUUCUUAGCUUUGGAUAAGUCUUGCACCUAGAACGUAUUCAUUGGUCUGAAAAUGGGGUUGUGAAGGGAUUAUUUGUGAUUGUAAUAUUUUUUUGUCUUUCUGGUAACUCCAUUUAUGACAGAAAAAUGUUUAAAUGUCUACCUGUGAAAGUAACUUUCUACCAGGCUCUGAGAUGCGUUCCUAAACGUUCUGCGCUGCAGCCUACUUCAGCAAUUCUAGAUGCCUGGUGUAGAUCUUGCCACGCAGGACACGUGGAGUUGAAGGACAUUGAACACUGAGAAUUCUUCCACUGUGUGACGAUUACAGAAACAUCUGUUCUCAGUGACCCUCUGCUGAUCAUCUGUAAAAAUUAAAUGUUUAAUAGUCCCCAAUACUUCCUAUUUUUAACAAACAUGAAUCUGAGCAGUCUGAACUUCAGAUGAGUUUUCCUUACAAACCACUUUCCUUACAUAGAUGUGAAAUGUAUGUACAGCCCCUGCCUUUGUAUCAAUGCUUUACAAAUUCUCACGGUGUUUUGCAGUAUUUAACUCUGCAUGGUCGGACUCCUUAUCUGACUUGGAGUUUUGGACUGUUUCAUAUUUCAUGGUCUGAAUUUUAUGAUUUGAGUUUAUCUCGGAUUUCUAACUGGUAGUGAGAAGACCAGACUACUGCAGCAUGAAAGUGGUGCUGAAUGCAAAACACAUUGCAUUGUCAAAGUUGCUUUCAUGAAGAUGUUUCAUUUUGAAGUUGCAUAACAAAGUCAGAAAAAAACCACUCCCCGUGAGCACAUGCAAUGAUGUCUACAGAAUUUAUUUUCAGGACAUACUUUUUCUCAUGAUUGUGUUGCAAGUCUCUUUGUCUCCCUGGCUUCUGGUAGAAUUUCUGCACUAUCACCAUGAAUGAAGCCUGAAUAUCAGAAUAGGUAUCUCUGAAAGUGCCUACAAAACAUAGGUUUCUUUAAUAUGAAGAUAUUGUGUAUCCACGCAGAAAAUAGCUUCAGCACCUCUGUGAAUGAUGUAGUCUCCAAAGUACAACCAGCUCUUGUAAUCACAACAAAGCAAUUCAGAAAAAUAAAUGAGGGGUCAAAGACUUGACAUGAGAGCACUCAGAUCUUUGUAGAAGUGGAAGUAGGAUUAUCUUUCUGGUUUUACUCUGUGUGUGUGUAUUUUAAUUCUCAUUCAUAUUUCUCUGAUGUGUGGUGGAAAACUGUUAACUAUUAAGCUUCAUAAUAUCACUGCAAAUAUCCCAGAUCUCUGCUCCAUCUGCUAGACCUCAUUGCCUCACUUAAAAUUUGUUUGUUUUUUCUCAGAGAAGAGAUCUUUCCAUUUGAUAUUAGCAUUCUAAAAAAGUCCCGAACUGAAUAAGCCCUCGGAGCUCAAGGGGAACAUCUCCAGUACUAUCUGCAGAGGAAACGGGAAUCUCGCACGGUUCCAGGUCUGCCCCACCUACCCCAUGCCUAGUUCUGCUGCAGACACAAGCAGUCAGUGCCAGUAAAUGUCUCUCACUGCAACGCGGCAUGGGACCCAAGACUGGAAAUGAGCUUGCGCCAUCCUUGGCGCAAGUAAUUCUGAUACGAGCUUAGCAGAGAUGAAAGGCACUUGGACCAAUGGGUGAUGACUUAUGAGCACCAUGGGAGGAAGUCAGCGCACCACAAGCAAAUUUUUCUGCUGUCUAGAUGUACUAGAGAAACACUGCAAAACCAGAAAAAGCCGGAGAAUUAGAAAUUAUAUCUUGGUUUUUGUUUUGGUUUUUUUGGGGGGGGGUUAAAUCAUGUUUUGGUCCACUAUUUUUGGGGGCUUUGGGGGUUUGUUUUGUUUUGUUGUUCGUUUUGUUUUUUUUUUUAAAGUUCCUUUUUCUUUUACUCUAUAUAUUGAAUCAUGCAAGGUAUGAAUUAUACAGAAUAGCCCAGCCCCAGUUUGGAGUAAAAUGAGGGAAAGCUCAACGUUUUACAGGACUGAAUCCUAGUACUGCCAGACUGCCUGGCAUCACGUAAACUGAAGAGAAGUCUGCUAUAACUUAACUUCUCAUUUUGAAUGAGUGCCUGGUGCUGGAAGGUACCUAGAGCCAUUGACAAGAAAGGCAUCUGAGGACACCUAGCAUUAUCCAGGCAAUGUUCAACAUCUUCCAAGAUUCAGUGCCUCGGCAGGCAAGAGCAGAGAUGUAGGGGUUUUUUUAGCAUCCAGAAAAAGAAAGGUGAAGGGUUCAUCCCAGUUCUAGGUGGUAUGUUAAAGCCAGCACGGUUAAGGCAUGCCCAGUGUUGUUGCCAGCAGCUUGCAAACCGUUUCCUUUUGACUUUUCCUGUCUGAAGGACCAGAUCAGAGUUGGAGUUGGCAAUUAGCAUGAGUGUAGAGCAAGCUUCAAGCUUACGCCUCAUUUGUUUCAUCGUCAGACCAUUCGUAUUUGCUAUAUCUCUUCAAAACAAACUCUUCCAUACAUCAGCUCAUGUAAAUUGCUCUGUAGUCCUCUUGAUGUGGGUGAAUGAUGACUGACAUCAGUUGAUGAUCUGUUCUUCCAUUUGUAAUUCUGAGAUUUAAUCUUUUUGUAACAAAAUCACAAGAGAAUUAAGCCAUUUGUGGCAAUGAGUGUAGUCAAAGACUAUGAAAUAAAACUAGGAGCAUAUGUAAAAUAAAAGUAUCCAUUAUAUGAUCAUGUAUAUGUAUAUAUUUAUAAAAAUUUCAGCAGUCCACUUGCCAGAAUUCUAAAACUGGUGAUGAGAUGACAGACAGGUGAGAAAUAUGAAACUUUCAAGUCAGAGAUAUUUUUCUGUUUAUGGUUCAUGUGAUUUUAUUUGAAAAAAGAUUUCUAUGAAAAUGGAGAAAUUGGGUCAUUCUUGAUUCACCCCCCAAAAAAGACAUAGAUGAAUAUACGUGUGUGUAUAUAUAUAUAUAUAUAUGGUGUGUGUAUAUAUAUAAAAAUAAAAGCUAUAAAGAAAGAA
Long non-coding RNA from Grus americana (Whooping crane), 5088 nucleotides. RefSeq lists it as uncharacterized. The transcript has 8 exons. The record is from RefSeq and is a predicted model, not a curated record. Lineage: Eukaryota; Metazoa; Chordata; Aves; Gruiformes; Gruidae.